Molecule: ribosomal RNA, 254 nt
Filed under: uncultured bacterium
Lineage: Bacteria
Description: partial 16S ribosomal RNA
Rfam family: Bacterial small subunit ribosomal RNA
Source: RNAcentral
UACGUAGGGUGGAAGCGUUGUCCGGAAUUACUGGGUUUAAAGGGUGCGUAGGCGGGAUGGUAAGUCGUAGAUGAAAUGGCCGCGUUUAACGUGUGCCACUGUCUGCGAUACUGCCACUCUUGAGGGAGGUUGAAGUAGCUGGAACGAGUGGUGUAGCGGUGAAAUGCUUAGAGAUCACUCAGAACACCGUUUGCGAAGGCAGGCUGCUGGACCCUUUCUGAGGCUGAGGCACGAAAGCGUGGGUAGCGAACAGG